CGACGUCGCGUGGAGGAUGAAAUCUUUCGGGAUGUAAACUCCUUUUCUCAGGGAAGAAAAAAAUGACGGUACCUGAGGAAUAAGCCCCGGCUAACUACGUGC
Molecule: ribosomal RNA, 102 nt
Filed under: uncultured bacterium
Lineage: Bacteria
Description: partial 16S ribosomal RNA
Rfam family: Bacterial small subunit ribosomal RNA
Source: RNAcentral